This 71-nucleotide transfer RNA is filed under the name Cordylochernes scorpioides. RNAcentral describes it as "tRNA-Gly". The record is from RNAcentral. Lineage: Eukaryota; Metazoa; Arthropoda; Arachnida; Pseudoscorpiones; Chernetidae.
UGCAUCGGCCGGGAAUCGAACCCGGGCCCCCCGCGUGGCAGGCGAGCAUUCUACCACUAAGCCACCGAUGC